This 230-nucleotide ribosomal RNA is filed under the name uncultured soil bacterium. RNAcentral describes it as "partial 16S ribosomal RNA". It matches the Rfam family "Bacterial small subunit ribosomal RNA", at positions 284 to 526 of the family's 1533-position model. The record is from RNAcentral.
CCCGCCGCGCGCGGCGGGCGGGGCGGGGGCACGGGGGGCCUACGGGAGGCAGCAGUGAGGAAUAUUGGUCAAUGGACGGUAGUCUGAACCAGCCAAGUCGCGUGCGGGAAGAAGGCCCUCCGGGCCGUAAACCGCUUUAGCCGGGGAGUAACGUGGGGGACGCGUCCCUCAGUGAGAGUACCCGGAGAAUAAGCAUCGGCUAACUCCGUGCCAGCAGCCGCGGUAAUAAU